Molecule: ribosomal RNA, 253 nt
Filed under: uncultured bacterium
Lineage: Bacteria
Description: partial 16S ribosomal RNA
Rfam family: Bacterial small subunit ribosomal RNA
Source: RNAcentral
GACGUAGGGCGCAAGCGUUGUCCGGAAUUAUUGGGCGUAAAGAGCUCGUAGGCGGUCUGUCGCGUCUGCUGUGAAAACCUGGGGCUUAACCCCGGGCCUGCAGUGGGUACGGGCAGACUAGAGUGCGGUAGGGGAGACUGGAAUUCCUGGUGUAGCGGUGGAAUGCGCAGAUAUCAGGAGGAACACCGGUGGCGAAGGCGGGUCUCUGGGCAGUAACUGACGCUGAGGAGCGAAAGCGUGGGGAGCAAACAGG